UACAGAGACUGCAAGCGUUAUUCGGAUUCACUGGGCGUAAAGGGUGCGCAGGCGGCCAAGUGUGUCAGGUGUGAAAUCCCGAGGCUUAACCUCGGAACUGCGCCUGAAACUACUUGGCUAGAGUACUGGAGAGGGUAACGGAAUUCACGGUGUAGCAGUGAAAUGCGUAGAUAUCGUGAGGAACACCAGAGGCGAAGGCGGUUACCUGGACAGUUACCGACGCUCAGGCACGAAAGCGUGGGGAGCAAAAGGG
This 253-nucleotide ribosomal RNA is filed under the name uncultured bacterium. Its description in RNAcentral is "partial 16S ribosomal RNA". It matches the Rfam family "Bacterial small subunit ribosomal RNA", at positions 524 to 776 of the family's 1533-position model. The record is from RNAcentral.